Gallus gallus (chicken) is the source of this 1258-nucleotide long non-coding RNA. NCBI's taxonomy places the organism in Eukaryota, Metazoa, Chordata, Aves, Galliformes, Phasianidae. The record is from Ensembl.
CCACAGGGUAAAGAGAGGUCCUUACAGCCCUGCCCACAGACGCCUCCCCACAUUCACCUCAAAUGCAGACUUCGUGCUCAGGCACACUUCCUUCUACACUCACAUCAAACCCGGAGGGAAGGCAAGGGAAUGUGCAAAGACAAUGGGAAGGAAAGGGAAAGAGAAGGGAAGGCAAGGAAAAGAAAGGAAAAGAAGAAAGGAAAGAGCAGACCCAGCGGAGCACUUUUUAAGAAAUCAAGAGAAAGGAAGAGACAGCCUCUCUGAUGUGUCAGCGAUGCACAUGGAUAUAAAUGAGCAGCCACAGUACACUGAGGAAUUGACAGCAAAAUCUUUGGGCACUGAGCUCUCUUCGCACAGACAGGCUGUUCAAAAGACUUGGAGGUCUUGGAGGAAAUUCGUUAAAUCCUAAGGGAUAAACUAAUGGCACAAGAAAUGGAGGAGAAGCCAUUUUGUCCUGAGGAUGGCAUGUUGCCCGGCCAUCGACAGAUGAGUGGAAACCCACACGCCAAGGGAUGCCGGAAGCAUGGCUUUUUCCCUUGGAACGAUGAGGAGCUCCAAAUGCAAAAUGUAUGACUCAUUCUCUCAAACGCCACGGUCAAGAAUGGAGGAGAGGAGGUCAUGGUACUCCUCCAAGCUCAGCCCCCAGAACAGGCUUGCCAGAUACCAAAAUGAGAUGUUAUGAGACAUUUGGCUGGUGUAGCUGGUCUCCCCACUUCACACCCUCAAGCAGUAAAGCAGCGCUGGCUGGUAGAAAUCAACAGUAUAGACACAAUCCCUCAUGGUUUCCAAUGAAAGCUGGGAAUUUCUGGAGCUGUUUGUAGGUCCUGAGGGUUUCUGGGUGAGCAAAUGUACCUCUCCAUCCCAGUAGGAAUGAACUAGCUGCUGGGGCCGAGCAAGACAGCCAGAGAAGGUACUUUCCAAGGCUGUGUUGCAUUCUCCAGCGUGACCCUUUUCUUCUCCCCCCCAGAGCACAGGGGAUUUUGUACUCUGUUUGGGAUGGCCUUGUCAAAUACUCUUGACCUGCUACAUGAAGCCUUGGAGGAAGGCAUUCCCCUUAGUUUGAUCCUCCACCAUUACAGUGAGAUGAGUGUGGAACAAUCCUUUAUUAAAGGGUCAUGAGAUCACUGAGGUCAUUGGUCUGUGAAAUCACUGAGGAGCAGAAAAUGGAUCACUGGCCUCUGAAAAUCCUAUAAAACUGUGGGGAGUGUCUCCGUUCCAGCUCUCUUCUGCUCUUGACAGUUUUUUACACCACAGAGAC